This 72-nucleotide transfer RNA is filed under the name Bos taurus (domestic cattle). It matches the Rfam family "tRNA". From Rfam's summary of the family: Transfer RNA (tRNA) molecules are approximately 80 nucleotides in length. Their secondary structure includes four short double-helical elements and three loops (D, anti-codon, and T loops). Lineage: Eukaryota; Metazoa; Chordata; Mammalia; Artiodactyla; Bovidae. RNAcentral also lists the same sequence under 4 other names. The record is from Rfam by way of RNAcentral.
UCCCUGGUGGCUCAGAGGGUAAAGCGUCUGCCUACAAUGCUUGAGACCCAGGUUCAAUCCCUGGGUUGGGAA